RNAcentral lists this ribosomal RNA (422 nucleotides) under uncultured bacterium. RNAcentral describes it as "bacterial SSU rRNA". It matches the Rfam family "Bacterial small subunit ribosomal RNA", at positions 361 to 776 of the family's 1533-position model. The record is from RNAcentral.
AUUUUGCACAAUGGGCGAAAGCCUGAUGCAGCAACGCCGCGUGUGUGAUGAAGGUCUUCGGAUUGUAAAGCACUUUCGACCGGGACGAAAACCGGAUGGCUAACAUCCAUCCGCUUGACGGUACCGGGAGAAGAAGCACCGGCUAACUCUGUGCCAGCAGCCGCGGUAAUACAGAGGGUGCAAGCGUUGUUCGGAAUUAUUGGGCGUAAAGCGCGUGUAGGCGGCUUGGCAAGUCGGGUGUGAAAGCCCUCAGCUUAACUGAGGAAGUGCGCCCGAAACUGCUUUGCUUGAGUGCUGGAGAGGGUCGCGGAAUUCCCCAAGUAGAGGUGAAAUUCGUAGAUAUGGGGAGGAACACCGGUGGCGAAGGCGGCGACCUGGACAGUAACUGACGCUGAGACGCGAAAGCGUGGGUAGCAAACAGG